CUAUAGAAGGAGGUGUUGUGUCACCAUUCAGCCUAUGGAAGCCAUGUGCACCAAUUCUUAGGCCGUUGAAUUGUAAAUUACUUAAGAUACAUCUCUAAACAUCUGUUGACCACUUCUAUCUAUCCAUCAGUUUGGGAGUCAUAAGAAGAACUCAUGUAUAAUUCAAUCCCAUGCAAACUAAAUAACUCCUUCCAAAAAGGUACUCAUAAACAUUUUAUCCUCAUCACUGACAAUUGAGUCAGGCAUGCCAUGCAACUUAAAAACAAAUUCCACAAAUAAUUAGGCAAUUUGGGAAG
This 296-nucleotide long non-coding RNA is filed under the name Elaeis guineensis (African oil palm). RNAcentral's name for it is "long non-coding RNA (EGUI_LNC026641)". The record is from RNAcentral. Lineage: Eukaryota; Viridiplantae; Streptophyta; Magnoliopsida; Arecales; Arecaceae.